This 76-nucleotide transfer RNA is filed under the name Oligosphaera ethanolica. RNAcentral's name for it is "tRNA-Ala". It matches the Rfam family "tRNA". Rfam says of the family: Transfer RNA (tRNA) molecules are approximately 80 nucleotides in length. Their secondary structure includes four short double-helical elements and three loops (D, anti-codon, and T loops). RNAcentral also lists the same sequence under 1 other name. Lineage: Bacteria; Pseudomonadati; Lentisphaerota; Oligosphaeria; Oligosphaerales; Oligosphaeraceae. The record is from RNAcentral.
GGGGCCGUAGCUCAGUUGGUAGAGCGCCUGCUUUGCAAGCAGGAUGCCGCGGGUUCGAGUCCCACCGGCUCCACCA